AAAUUCUGUUGCAGCAGAUAGC
Molecule: microRNA, 22 nt
Filed under: human gammaherpesvirus 4 (Epstein-Barr virus)
Lineage: Duplodnaviria; Heunggongvirae; Peploviricota; Herviviricetes; Herpesvirales; Orthoherpesviridae
Description: ebv-miR-BHRF1-2-5p
Gene: ebv-miR-BHRF1-2-5p
Source: miRBase by way of RNAcentral